Molecule: ribosomal RNA, 292 nt
Filed under: uncultured Enterobacteriaceae bacterium
Lineage: Bacteria; Pseudomonadati; Pseudomonadota; Gammaproteobacteria; Enterobacterales; Enterobacteriaceae
Description: partial 16S ribosomal RNA
Rfam family: Bacterial small subunit ribosomal RNA
Source: RNAcentral
AACGAGCGCAACCCUUAUCCUUUGUUGCCAGCGGUCCGGCCGGGGAACUCAAAGGAGACUGCCAGUGAUAAACUGGAGGAAGGUGGGGAUGACGUCAAGUCAUCAUGGCCCUUACGACCAGGGCUACACACGUGCUACAAUGGCGCAUACAAAGAGAAGCGACCUCGCGAGAGCAAGCGGACCUCAUAAAGUGCGUCGUAGUCCGGAUUGGAGUCUGCAACUCGACUCCAUGAAGUCGGAAUCGCUAGUAAUCGUGGAUCAGAAUGCCACGGUGAAUACGUUCCCGGGCCUU